Molecule: ribosomal RNA, 254 nt
Filed under: uncultured bacterium
Lineage: Bacteria
Description: partial 16S ribosomal RNA
Rfam family: Bacterial small subunit ribosomal RNA
Source: RNAcentral
CACGUAGGGUGCGAGCGUUGUCCGGAAUUAUUGGGCGUAAAGAGCUCGUAGGCGGUGUGUCGCGUCGGCCGUGAAAACCUGCAGCUUAACUGUGGGCUUGCGGUCGAUACGGGCAUCACUGGAGUUCGGCAGGGGAGACUGGAAUUCCUGGUGUAGCGGUGAAAUGCGCAGAUAUCAGGAGGAACACCGGUGGCGAAGGCGGGUCUCUGGGCCGCAACUGACGCUGAGACGCGAAAGCGUGGGGAGCAAACAGG